UGAAAGUGGCCGGAGCACCCCAAGCUUAUCCCUCUGCUCAGACAGCAGAUCUGCGUCCUCUCUCUACCAGCAGGCACCCAAACAUUUUCAUAUUCCAGAGACUGGAAUAAAAGAUAACAUCUAUAGGAAACCCCCCAUCUACCGACAGCAUGCCUCAAGAAUAUCCGAUGGCGAUGGGAGCUCCGAUCAAGACAGCAAGAAGCUAAAGUCCAGCUGGCUG
This is a long non-coding RNA of Protobothrops mucrosquamatus (brown spotted pit viper), 220 nucleotides long. RefSeq lists it as uncharacterized. The record is from RefSeq and is a predicted model, not a curated record. Lineage: Eukaryota; Metazoa; Chordata; Lepidosauria; Squamata; Viperidae. The transcript is spliced from 4 exons.